AAAAAGUCAAACACUAGGUUUUCGUGUUCAACUUUGACUGUCUGUCUUAUAUAAAAUUUUUUUAUAAUUCGUAUUUUUAUUGUUGUUAGAUGAUAAAACAUGAUUAAUAUUUUAUACGUGACUUGUCUUUUUAAUUUUUUUCAUAAUUUUUUUAAAUAAGACGGACGGUCAAAUGUUAGACACGGAAAUCAGGGUUUGUCUUUUU
Molecule: non-coding RNA, 205 nt
Organism: Oryza nivara
Lineage: Eukaryota; Viridiplantae; Streptophyta; Magnoliopsida; Poales; Poaceae
Source: Rfam